Molecule: ribosomal RNA, 91 nt
Filed under: Enterococcus faecalis
Lineage: Bacteria; Bacillati; Bacillota; Bacilli; Lactobacillales; Enterococcaceae
Source: RNAcentral
UGUGGUGGCGAUAGCGAGAAGGAUACACCUGUUCCCAUGCCGAACACAGAAGUUAAGCUUCUUAGCGCCGAUUGUAGUGAAGGGUUUCCCU